CUACGUAAAUAUUGCUACGUAAUUAAUGUAAUGAACCAGGUGGACGAAUACGAUUGGAGAUUAGAGGAGGACGGGCGAUCCCUGAAAUUGGGGCCUCCUAGGAUCGCAAUUCCUGACGCUUCAGGCGCUAAAAGGUAAUCUUUAUGUCUCGCUUAUAACGAGACGUAGGGAAGGCUCAGUACAAGAGCUGCUGUCCGAAUGGGCCCUCCCAGUAGAGGCCCGGCCUCUACUGCAUUUUUCUUCUUCUUCUUCCUUUUUUCGCUUUUCUGCUUUUUUCACUUUUACAUGGAUUUCAAAAUAUACUAAAUAUAUCAUUAUAAAAAUUACUUUACAUACAUAAUUGAAAAAUGUUAAUCAUCUAUGUAUAAAAAUACAUUCCUAAUGUAUACAAAAAAUAUAGAAUAUGUAUGAAAAAAUUCAACAUCAAAACAUAUAUGUUUGAGAAACCUUAAUCUUGUAUUUGAAAAAUUGUUCAACGUGUAAAGCUUUCUUGUAUUUAAAUAAAGGAUUGUGAUAACUGUCAACCAUGUGGCAGAUUGCAAAAAGUACCGCACCUCCCAAACGAACCCCCUCCUUCAAUCCGAUUUUCUCCUCCCCGCACACGAGGUUGCGUGCUCUCCCCGGUUUUCUGGGUCGCUGCACCCGCACUAUCAGUAGUUUAAAAAAAGGCAAAACACAGGCCUUACAAGGAAAUUGGGGCCUCCUAGGAUCGCAAUUCCUGACGCUUCAGGCGCUAAAAGGUAAUCUUUAUGUCUCGCUUAUAACGAGACGUAGGGAAGGCUCAGUACAAGAGCUGCUGUCCGAAUGGGCCCUCCCAGUAGAGGCCCGGCCUCUACUGCAUUUUUCUUCUUCUUCUUCUUCUUCCUUUUUUCGCUUUUCUGCUUUUUUCACUUUUACAUGGAUUUCAAAAUAUACUAAAUAUAUCAUUAUAAAAAUUACUUUACAUACAUAAUUGAAAAAUGUUAAUCAUCUAUGUAUAAAAAUACAUUCCUAAUGUAUACAAAAAAUAUAGAAUAUGUAUGAAAAAAUUCGACAUCAAAACAUAUAUGUUUGAGAAACCUUAAUCUUGUAUUUGAAAAAUUGUUCAACGUGUAAAGCUUUCUUGUAUUUAAAUAAAGGAUUGUGAUAACUGUCAACCAUGUGGCAGAUUGCAAAAAGUACCGCACCUCCCAAACGAACCCCCUCCUUCGAUCCGAUUUUCUCCUCCCCGCACACGAGGUUGCGUGCUCUCCCCGGUUUUCUGGGUCGCUGCACCCGCACUAUCAGUAGUUUAAAAAAAGGCAAAACACAGGCCUUGCAAGGAAAUUGGGGCCUCCUAGGAUCGCAAUUCCUGACGCUUCAGGCGCUAAAAGGUAAUCUUUAUGUCUCGCUUAUAACGAGACGUAGGGAAGGCUCAGUACAAGAGCUGCUGUCCGAAUGGGCCCUCCCAGUAGAGGCCCGGCCUCUACUGCAUUUUUCUUCUUCUUCUUCUUCUUCCUUUUUUCGCUUUUCUGCUUUUUUCACUUUUACAUGGAUUUCAAAAUAUACUAAAUAUAUCAUUAUAAAAAUUACUUUACAUACAUAAUUGAAAAAUGUUAAUCAUCUAUGUAUAAAAAUACAUUCCUAAUGUAUACAAAAAAUAUAGAAUAUGUAUGAAAAAAUUCGACAUCAAAACAUAUAUGUUUGAGAAACCUUAAUCUUGUAUUUGAAAAAUUGUUCAACGUGUAAAGCUUUCUUGUAUUUAAAUAAAGGAUUGUGAUAACUGUCAACCAUGUGGCAGAUUGCAAAAAGUACCGCACCUCCCAAACGAACCCCCUCCUUCGAUCCGAUUUUCUCCUCCCCGCACACGAGGUUGCGUGCUCUCCCCGGUUUUCUGGGUCGCUGCACCCGCACUAUCAGUAGUUUAAAAAAAGGCAAAACACAGGCCUUACAAGGGAAUCGAACCCACAACCUACCAUACUAAAUGUAACAACAACACCCAGCUGCUCUAGCUCCCUUUGCUGAUUCCACAGGAGUUACAUAUCUUCUUGAGACGAGAUUGAAAAAAAAGACAGCGCUCAAUAACUGAAAAUCGAAACCAGUGGCCUCAUUUGUCCGGGUUUUAGGACUAUACGCCCUAGUUCCAUCAUUUUUUCUGCACGUUUCACGCCGGUUCACAAACCUGAUCAUCCCCUUCCCUCCUUUUCAGAUGCAAAUUACCACAAUAUUUUCACCUAAGUUAUCAACUUUGUUGGUCGUAUAUUACCAUGUUAUUUACAUAGGAGUCAAUGAGGGGUAUUUUUCAACAACUUUUUCACCCUUGGUUAAAUUUAACGUGGUGUCUUAUGUAAGUUAUCAGGUAUGUGGUUCGUAUAUUACCGUGCUAUUUUCACAUAAGUAACCGGGAUAUGUUUUUUAAAUAUUUUCCCCUUUGAUCAAAUUUACCAUGGUGUUUGU
Molecule: long non-coding RNA, 2415 nt
Filed under: Triticum aestivum (bread wheat)
Lineage: Eukaryota; Viridiplantae; Streptophyta; Magnoliopsida; Poales; Poaceae
Description: long non-coding RNA (TAES_LNC024849)
Source: RNAcentral